UUUCCGUAGGUGAACCUGCGGAAGGAUCAUUAUCGAAAAGCAAUCCGGGGGGGAGGCCACCGGGCGAAGUUUGGUAGAUCGUAGGGAUUGUCGCUGGCCUUUGGAAACGAAGGCAUGUGCACGUUCCGAGUUCUCCUUAGUCCUCCUUUGCCUUUCCUUUGGAAGACCCUUCCUUCACACCCGUGCACACAUUGUAGGUCUCCGCGAGGGGAUCUAUGUCUUCACAAAACUCUACGUAUGUCCAGGAAUGUAUCUAAUGCGUCGAACGGCUCGGCCCCAUGCCCGGUCGCCGACGGUAAAGAACCAUAAUCCAACUUUCAGCAACGGAUCUCUUGGCUCUC
RNAcentral lists this unclassified non-coding RNA (341 nucleotides) under plant metagenome. RNAcentral describes it as "partial contains small subunit ribosomal RNA, internal transcribed spacer 1, and 5.8S ribosomal RNA". The record is from RNAcentral.